RNAcentral lists this long non-coding RNA (448 nucleotides) under Solanum tuberosum (potato). RNAcentral describes it as "long non-coding RNA (STUB_LNC011146)". Lineage: Eukaryota; Viridiplantae; Streptophyta; Magnoliopsida; Solanales; Solanaceae. The record is from RNAcentral.
CUCGCGAUUGGUAAAUCAGCAACAGAAGGCUGUGGCAUUGACACUUGACACUUUGGGAGUUCUUGAAUCAAUUUGUUACCAAAAUUUGCACCAGAUUGAUCAGAUGUUUUUUGAUUCUUCAUCAUAGUAUAAGUGAAGUUGUUUGUGGGGUUUUGUUUGUUGGCUAAUUUCAUGAUCUCAUUUGCUUUAUCAGCUGGAAAAUCAUCAAAAACAAUGACUUGUCCACCAUAAAAAAUGGUCAUUUGUGCCUUUUCUGGUUGAUCAAAUUUCCAAGAUUCAGUCUUUUUUGUGGAUUGUUCUUUGGAGAAAUCAAAUUCUUGAGGGAAAAGAUUCAUGGGUUUUUGAGGAUUUGUUUCAACGGACGACGAUGACGACGAUGAAUCACUUGAUUUCUCAAUCAUUGGCAACAAAUUCAUAGUAGUUGUAGUGGUGGUAGCUGUUUGUUGAG